UAUAGAUGGAUUUAAAAAUUUCUAUUGAACUUUAUUAAAAUCGCAAGAAAUAAUAGUGUUAGAGAACAUUAAGAGAAUGCUGGAUAUAAAAGCGGCUUCUUUAAAGAAUCUUUCAAGACAGAAUUUCGUAACUUGAAUUAUAUAAAUAUAUUAAAAAUCAGAGAGAAAAAUAAAGGAAGCAAAUCUAAAGAAUAAGCCAAAUAAAAGAGAAGAUGGAUCUCCUUAUAAGCUUAAAUCAAAAGUUUAAACAACAAGUUUGAACAAUCCAAUGCAAUAAU
Molecule: long non-coding RNA, 278 nt
Organism: Apis florea (little honeybee)
Lineage: Eukaryota; Metazoa; Arthropoda; Insecta; Hymenoptera; Apidae
Source: RefSeq, a predicted model, not a curated record